This 626-nucleotide ribosomal RNA is filed under the name Alteromonadales bacterium HOT10B6. RNAcentral's name for it is "bacterial SSU rRNA". It matches the Rfam family "Bacterial small subunit ribosomal RNA", at positions 86 to 714 of the family's 1533-position model. The record is from RNAcentral. Lineage: Bacteria; Pseudomonadati; Pseudomonadota; Gammaproteobacteria; Alteromonadales.
GCUGACGAGAUGGCGGACGGGUGAGUAAUGCUUGGGAACUUGCCUUUAGGUGGGGGAUAACAGUUGGAAACGACUGCUAAUACCGCAUAAUGUCUACGGACCAAAGGGGGCUUCGGCUCUCGCCUNGAGAGAGGCCCAAGUGAGAUUAGCUAGUUGGUGGGGUAAAGGCCUACCAAGGCAACGAUCUCUAGCUGUUCUGAGAGGAAGAUCAACCACACUGGGACUGAGACACGGCCCAGACUCCUACGGGAGGCAGCAGUGGGGAAUAUUGCACAAUGGGGGAAACCCUGAUGCAGCCAUGCCGCGUGUGUGAAGAAGGCCUUCGGGUUGUAAAGCACUUUCAGUUGUGAGGAAAGGUUGGUAGUUAAUACCUGCCAGCUGUGACGUUAACAACAGAAGAAGCACCGGCUAACUCCGUGCCAGCAGCCGCGGUAAUACGGAGGGUGCGAGCGUUAAUCGGAAUUACUGGGCGUAAAGCGCACGCAGGCGGCUUGUUAAGCUAGAGGUGAAAGCCCCGCGCUCAACGUGGGAACUGCCUUUAGAACUGGCAGGCUAGAGUCUUGGAGAGGGGAGUGGAAUUCCAGGUGUAGCGGUGAAAUGCGUAGAUAUCUGGAGGAACAUCAGUG